Zingiber officinale is the source of this 525-nucleotide long non-coding RNA. RefSeq lists it as uncharacterized. The transcript is spliced from 4 exons. The record is from RefSeq and is a predicted model, not a curated record. Lineage: Eukaryota; Viridiplantae; Streptophyta; Magnoliopsida; Zingiberales; Zingiberaceae.
GGUUUGUGGACAAAGAAGCAGUCGCAGUUACCAGUGUGUCUCGGAAGGCAACUUUCUACAAUAGACCAAGCUCUACGGACUUCAUAAAUGUCCAUGACAUUUUUCUUGAAUGUGAUCAUGAUUCAAUCAUAUACCUUGGGAAGUCUGUUGAACCAACAAUAUAUGAUCUUUUGGGUGAUCAAGAGGUUGAAAUCUACUUGUUGAAAAAUGGAAAACCAUCAUGGACGAAGAAGAAGUUUCUUUGCUCCAAAGUCAGGUUGUUGCGUCUUAAGACUGGCUCGAGGUGACAAAAUAUGCUGGAUUGGUCUGUGCUUAGGCCCGUCAAGAAUUAAUUCAAGAUAUGUUUAAAGUCUGGCAAGAUUCUCAGCAAGGAACUCUUACUGGUGGCAUGAUAAAGUAUGAAAUACAAUCUAAAAUCAGUUUUAAAUAGAAUGUUGGUUUUCUUUUCCAAUUUACCUGCCUAAGUAGAACAUCUGCCAUGCAAUAUCCAGGGAGCUACUUUUUUCCUUCAAAAAGGCUACUAGA